Molecule: ribosomal RNA, 378 nt
Filed under: uncultured eukaryote
Lineage: Eukaryota
Description: partial 18S ribosomal RNA
Rfam family: Eukaryotic small subunit ribosomal RNA
Source: RNAcentral
CAAUAGCGUAUAUUUAAGUUGUUGCAGUUAAAAAGCUCGUAGUUGGAUUUCGGGUGGGACGCAGCGGUCUCGCAUUGCGUUUGUACUGCUGCAGCCCUCCUUCUUGCCGGGGGCGGCCUCUCGGACUUCACUGUCUGGGGGUCAGAAUCGGCGAUGUUACUUUGAGUAAAUUAGAGUGUUCAAAGCAAGCUUACGCUCUGAAUAUAAUAGCAUGGGAUAACACGACAGGACUCUGGCCUAUCGUGUUGGUCUAUAGGACCAGAGUAAUGAUUAAGAGGGACAGUCGGGGGCAUUCGUAUUCCGUUGGCAGAGGUGAAAUUCUUGGAUUUACGGAAGACGAACAUCUGCGAAAGCAUUUGCCAAGGAUGUUUUCAUUGA